RNAcentral lists this long non-coding RNA (435 nucleotides) under Lepisosteus oculatus (spotted gar). RNAcentral's name for it is "lncRNA (ENSLOCG00000021903.1)". The record is from RNAcentral. Lineage: Eukaryota; Metazoa; Chordata; Actinopteri; Semionotiformes; Lepisosteidae.
CGGACAGCCCAGCUGACGCCUCCUGACAGGACCUACUGCUUCCUUUCAUCUCAUCCCCCGUUUCUCCCAGCUCCGUCCUGGCAGGCCGCACCCAGGGGUGUGCGAGAGAGGGAUCGGAACGGGUGCCUUGAGGUGAUCGGCUCGCCGUGACACCGGCCAGCAUCUGUUCGGCGUCACUGCACAGCUGUCUAGAGAUCUCCUGGGACCAGCUGUGUCCCGCCAGUGUCUGAGGGAGGACAGGAAGGGUGUCCAAUGAGUCCUUUUAAAACAGAAUGAUGGCUCAGCAAUUGCACUUAGGUGCAAAAGUGAUGGUUAAUUAGGUCUCACUUGGCCAAUGGAAACUGUCUACAACCUGUCUGAUGCAAAUAACUGGGCUGGAGACGAGGCCCUGGAAGAGAGCCUUCCUGAUCCAGGCCAGCACCCCUACUGCCCCUC